ACUAACAUAAUUUCUGCUCCUAAAGGAGAAAAGUGGGAGUAACAGAGGCUUGAAUGCCCAUGGAUCCUCCAUGGCUACCAUCCUGAUUGGGAAGAACCACAUUAAUUGGGGAGCAAAUAUGGUAACCAAAGAAGACAUCCAGGAUUGACUCCUCCCACCAUCAUUUGAUUCUGCAGCUCCCUAUGAAAAAGCUUUGGCCAAAACCUCCUCCUGAGGGAGAAAAAGAUAAAACACAAAAUACUGGGGAUAGUUUCUCAGGGGAAAGCUGCUAAACACUGACAGAAGCAAAGAAGUUAGAGAAUUUCCUUUCCUAAAAUCUGGGUAACCCACUGAUUUGCAGGUAAUCUUUAGUGUUAUGAGACUGACAGACUAUGCAUUCUUACUGUGUGAAGUAUUGCUUUCUAACCUAGUAUGAUA
Sarcophilus harrisii (Tasmanian devil) is the source of this 417-nucleotide long non-coding RNA. RefSeq lists it as uncharacterized. The record is from RefSeq and is a predicted model, not a curated record. NCBI's taxonomy places the organism in Eukaryota, Metazoa, Chordata, Mammalia, Dasyuromorphia, Dasyuridae. The transcript has 2 exons.